GUGUUAAUUUUUUUUUUAAUCAAUGACCACGAUUUCAUAAAAAAAACCGGGUAAAAUUUGUCAUGUUCUACGUUCUUCUUUUUAUCUCUUUCUCUCUCCUCUCCUUCUCCAUGUUCUAGCGUAUUCUAGCAUUCUCACUGUGUAAUUUGCAAACAAGUGAUUUUGCCAUCAAAAAUCUUUGAAUUGCUCAUCAAAUUGUUUUCUCCAUCCUUUUUCGUGCUUCUAUCCUUGAAUUCUCGAUCUGUUCAUUGUUCACUUUUUGAGCUCAUAAUUUGGUAUUAUAUUCGGUGUUGCAAAUCCUUCAAAAUCACCAUGGAUGAUGAUAGUUACAAUGAAGAUAAUAAUGAACUUGAAAAUGAUGAGAGUGAUGAUGACACACUGAAAGCUACUAACACGAAGAAAAAGAGGAAGCUAGCAAGUAAAAGGGAUAAUGAUGCAAAUGUCUUGCCUAGUAAAAUGUCACCAAGAAUUUUUUACAAAAUGUUGCUGAAGUUGAGCAUGGAACAAAAAAAUGCAGUGAAAAAUAUUAGGUUUGGAAGUAUUCUAGAUUUGGAGGUUAUGGAUCUCCCUAGAAGAUUAGGGAGGUUUCUUGUGGAAAAAUUUGAUUAUUGUAGUCAUUCAUUAGUUUUGGAGAAAGGGAAUUUGACAAAAUCUAAAGAUGAUGUCCACAGUACCUUAGGCUUUCAUUGUGAAGGGACACGUGUGGAAGAAGCUUCUCCAUCAAAGAAAAAUGAUUCUUAUUUAGAAUUUGUAAAAUCAUUCAAACUCCGAUGGUUUAACACUGUUGUCUCUGAGAAGAAAACCAACAAUUUUAUUUUUGCAACUAAAAAAUAUUGUACUCCUUAAUGGACGUUAGAGAAAUAAAGAAUUUAGAUUGGUGUGAGUACACAUUUUUUAGCCUUGUGUCUUCUGUGGAGAAUUGGAAGAAGAAUGAUGGGAGAUAUUUCAAAGGUCCACUCUUGUUUCUCAUGUUAUGUUACGUGGAUAGAGUUGAGUUUAAGGCAGGGCAAGUAGAGAGGAAAUUUUCUAUUCUCCGUGGGUGGACAAGUAAGAUUUUGAAGAAGAGAGCAACUGAAGAGGAGAUAGAAGGGUUUGGAAAAGGUCAUAUUACUGGUCGUUUAGGUCUUAUUGAGGAUCUCGAAAAGGAGAAUGCGUCGGAUAUAUUAUGCUCCUCUCUCAAGACAAUCUCAACUGGAAUCGUCAUGUUAGGUAAAGCAAUAUUAGAAGUUGGACCAAAUGCUUUCCAGAAUGAAAAGCCCGAAAAGGCAGCUGAAGCAUUUAAUCAAGAUGAUGAAUUUUGGCAACAACCUAGUGUCACGAAUGUUGUGGACGAGGUGUUAGCAUGUGCUACAAGUGCUGGUGAUCUGAUAUUAAUGGAUGAAUUCUUAUUAGAAAAAGAAAGCUCUCCUCCCCUUGAUAAUAAGAGACGUCUUUCCACUAUCGCUACUCCUACUUUUUCCUUGGGAUUGAAUCAAACUCCUACUCCUCCUACACCUCCCUGUGGAGAUAUAGAUGAAAGUGAAAAGUUGUUUAUGUAUAACAAUAUGUUUGCAACACGGGAAGAUAUGUAUUCACUUUCUACUGAUGAAGACGUUUCAUCAUCAGUCAUUGAUAUUUGGAGUUUGAUCUUAAAUAUACAAAAUUUGUAUCGUGGAAAAAACAAACCUCAUAUAGUGUUCUUUUCUACAAAAUUAGCUUAUUUUCUGACACUUCACAAUUCUACUGGUCAAGUAACGGAUGCCAAUAGAAUCGCCAACUUUCACACAAGGCUACAAAAUGAGCUGUAUACAUAUAGAAGUCCUUCUUUGGAAAAAGCUGAUUUAGUUUUUUUUCCUAUCUGCGACGAUAAACAAUUCUCCCUUGUGUGCUUCAACUUUGUGAAAGAUCGAGUAGACUACAUUGAUAACAGAUCUUUACCUGAAAUUCUUCUUUUCAGAAAAAAUAUGGAGUUAUUUAUGAGAUUUUGGACACUACUUUUCAAGUUUUUCUAUUAACCAUCAAACAUCCAAAGGCUGGAAAAUUGUCUGAAAAGAUAAAAACAGUAAAACUUCCAUGGAAAUCCAGAUCAAAUUUAAAGGAUUGUGGGGUUUUUCUAAUAAGGCAUGCAUAUGGAAACAUACUUGGGGCAGGAUGACAAUUGGGAGUGUGGCUUCUAAAAAAAAGCUAAAGACAAUGUUCAAGCAUUACAAUCUCUUAGAGCCAAAUAUUGCAGCACAAUUCUUCUUAGUCAGCUGAAUGCAAGGAGAACGUAUGUGAUCAGAAAAGCAAGGGAACACUUGACGAAGAAAUAGCUAGCAAGAUUGACUCGGAGAAGGAAUCAGAGAAUUGUCAUUGUUUAAACCAAUUGCUUUAUUUCUCUACUCAGACUUUCAUAGCAUCUCCAGAAUUUUGUUUGUUCAUAUCUGAUAGCUGCAUAUUAGAAUUUGAUCUUAGAUUAGGAAGCACUAGGUGAACCUAUCACACUCUUCCCAUCUUUGGAGCAUUAAAUUCAACCCACUCAGGCCAAAAAAAUGCUUGUUCUUAGUGAUGCUCUUAUUUUUUUUGUUGAUAGAUCUGGGAAUAUGAUGUGUAGUAAAGUGACGAUAUUGACAUGAAUAUGGUUCAUGAUCUUUUGCCUUGGUAGAUGAUGAGAUGUCAUAAUGAAUCUUAUAUCUCCGAAGAUGUAUAUAAUGCAAAUAUUAUUAUAUUGUAAGAAAGGAGUUCCUUGAUUUACAAGA
This is an RNA transcript of Chenopodium quinoa (quinoa), 2717 nucleotides long. RefSeq lists it as uncharacterized. Lineage: Eukaryota; Viridiplantae; Streptophyta; Magnoliopsida; Caryophyllales; Amaranthaceae. The record is from RefSeq and is a predicted model, not a curated record. The transcript has 10 exons.